Molecule: transfer RNA, 64 nt
Filed under: Leucolepas longa
Lineage: Eukaryota; Metazoa; Arthropoda; Thecostraca; Neolepadidae
Description: tRNA-Phe
Source: RNAcentral
AUUAAAAUAGCUCAAUGAGAGUUUUGUAUUGAAGCUGCAAAGGUGGCUUUAAGGCCUUUUAAUA